CUUGGACCUAGAUUUCUUGUCUGACCUUCGGCAUGUUGCACCUUUUUAUUUUUCUUUUUUCCUUUCUUAAAGGGAUGACACCCCACCAUUGAUCCUCCCACUAUAUUCAUCAUUUUCUUAUGGAGCUGGUGAUUUUUCUUAAAAGUUUGCAGUAAUCCCAGUAAACCAUGAUAAUUGACUACAGGCUUAGUCAUUCUAUAAUGAUUGAGAAAGGAGAGAUAGGACUUUAGUAAA
RNAcentral lists this long non-coding RNA (234 nucleotides) under Elaeis guineensis (African oil palm). RNAcentral's name for it is "long non-coding RNA (EGUI_LNC076421)". Lineage: Eukaryota; Viridiplantae; Streptophyta; Magnoliopsida; Arecales; Arecaceae. The record is from RNAcentral.